GGCCUGGUGGUCUAGUCGCAUGAUACCUCCUUUGGGCGCUUGAAGCUCGAUUGGUGGUGGUCCUGGGUUCAAUUCCCGGUCAGGCCC
Molecule: transfer RNA, 87 nt
Filed under: Agrocybe pediades
Lineage: Eukaryota; Fungi; Basidiomycota; Agaricomycetes; Agaricales; Agrocybaceae
Description: tRNA-Pro
Rfam family: tRNA
About the family: Transfer RNA (tRNA) molecules are approximately 80 nucleotides in length.
Source: RNAcentral